Molecule: small nuclear RNA, 117 nt
Organism: Gigantopelta aegis
Lineage: Eukaryota; Metazoa; Mollusca; Gastropoda; Neomphalida; Peltospiridae
Product: U5 spliceosomal RNA
Exons: 1
Source: RefSeq, a predicted model, not a curated record
AACUCUGGUUUUACCUCAAAAUCGUAUAAAUCUUUCGCCUUUUACUAAAGAUUUCCGUGGGGGAGGACAAAUGAAGAGUGUAUGUUAAUUUUUUUAAAGGGCUCAUCAUGAGGCCUA